Molecule: long non-coding RNA, 1312 nt
Filed under: Lactuca sativa (garden lettuce)
Lineage: Eukaryota; Viridiplantae; Streptophyta; Magnoliopsida; Asterales; Asteraceae
Description: long non-coding RNA (LSAT_LNC003583)
Source: RNAcentral
UCAAAGGCACAAUUAACUGAUCUAGAUCAGCUUGACAGGCGAUCUUGAUUAGCAAAUAACUCUUGCAUAAAAGGAAUACUCCUCCAUCUGCUAGCAAUAUUUAGUUUCCAAAGAUGAAAGAGUUCAAUGAAGAUAUAGAUCUGCAAACACAACCACAAAUAUAAGUUAAUGAUGCAUAUACACACACACAAACAUACAAGAAAUGUGCAUAAUAUAGCAAGCUUUCAAAUGACCACAUAUGUGAGGAUUUAAUCCUAAAGUGUCAAAUCCAUAGAUCUAUCCACAUAGAAGAUAAAAAGAGUCCUCAUUCCCUAGAACUCUAUUGAUUGAAAUAUAUAGUACUCCCUCAGUAGCAACUACCAACUAAGGAAUAUAAAGGAUCAUCGGUUACAAUCAGUUCGUGCAUAUGUUGAAACAUUAGGUCAAUAAAUGCAUAAGUUCAAUUUUAACCAAUCUGUGUUCAAUCUUACAAAAAUUCAACGAUUUCUCUGUAUCGGCGCACUAAUUCUAUUAUGAAUAUGAGUGAAGUGUUGAUGAACAAGUGAAUGUUACCGUUUCAAGCACCAAAAGGCGUUUGUGAUGUUUCAAACAUUUGCUAAUAAUCAAAGUAGCAACGAAUCAGAGAAGCGUUAAAACAGAGAGACUAGAGUCAUUUGAAGGCAUCAAGUUAGUGUUGUCGUCAGGAUCUAAGCAAAUCGUGGCUUUGGGAAAAAGAAGUGUAUAAUUGCUUUUCAUGUGUUGCUAGCAUGAAUGUUUUGGGAAGACGAUAUGGAAAUAGCAGUGGAUGACCUAGAAUUUGGGAAGAUGAAAAGAAUUUAAAACAACAGGUUAAUUCCCGCCUAAAUGAACCAAGAACAAAAUUGCUAUCGAAAAAAAUAAACGAAUCCACAACGCCUGAUAAUAAAGUGCAAUUAAUAGAGUAAACGAUAAUAAAGUGCUAUUAAUGAGUAAACGAGCUGUAUUUAUUGUUUAUAUAGUACGGUUUUCUAUACAAUCGUAUUAUAUUUCUGUGUAUUCUUUUCUAGUAGUGAUAUCAAUCGAUGUUACCUUAAACCAUUGAUCGUUAUGAUAUUUCAAUUCUCAGUAACGUGCAAUAGAAGUGUGUGAGAUAAAUGAUCAAGAAUAAUACCACAGUCGACAGAUAAUAUAUAAUAUCGAGGACUUUCUCUAAAACAAAUUUUCAAUGCGUCGAAAGAAGAAGAUGAAGAGAGAACAGAAACUGGAACAAGAAACUUACCGGAGAUAAUCGUCGUCUGAAAAAAGGAUGAGAAAUAUGGCGGCAAAUAAUCGUCGUCGAAAACAAUGAGAGAAA